GCUGGUGCUGGUGCAGGAGGCCAUUAUGCUUCUAAUUCUGAUGGUGACGGUGGUGAUGAUGAUGCUAAUUCUGGUGGUGGCUGUGUUCCUGUUCUUGGCGGUGGUACAAGUGAGUGUAAGCUUCCUGUUGUUGGCGGUGGUGCAGAUGGCGAUAGUGAUGAUAAUCUUGAUCCUGGUGUUGAUGUUGGUGGUGAAGCAGGAAUAUUUAGGGUUGUUAUUGGUGGAGGUGAGAAUGGAGUUUCAGGUGGUGGAGUCGGUUUUAGUAUUGGUGGUCUUCCUCAACCUUGACAGUGCUAUCUGUCUCUGUCUGUAUGGCAUUUCCACUUCCUACCAUAAUAUAAUAAUAAGUGCAGAAAAGGAUCCAUUGUUUUGUAAUGUAUCUAUAUAUAUUAUGUGUUGUUCCUUCUUACUCAAGGGAUAUCACACGGUAUUUCAUAUUCAUUUGUUGAGCACUAUCAACCAUUAAUCAACUUUAUUUAUUAUGAGUGACUACAAAAUUAAAUAAUGUCUCAAUUGAGACGACCAAAUUAACUUUAAACUUACAUUCUUAAACGAAAAAAAGAAGAAAAAAACAAAAGAGAGACACCUAGGUUUAGAGAGAAACGUGUGCUUAUAUCUUAGAGGCUUAAUCAUCACCACAUACGUUAUCAAUUGUCAUCCACAUCCAUACAUACACAAUUAUGGACUCAAAUACAUCUAUAGAAUAUAACAAUAAAAUAAACAAUUACUACAACAAUAAAAUCAAUAUGUUGUCAAUUUAAAAAAGAUUUUGUUGUUGUAAAAAAAAUCUCACAAUACUAAAAUUUAAAUUGAAUGUUAUUAGUAGUUGAAAAAACCUUCACAAAUUGAAUAUUUUAUUUAGCUGAAUGUAAUUUUUUUGGCGACAAAAAACAAUCAUUAAAAAUGUUACAGUAAAAAGUUAUUUGGAUUUGUAAUAGUCUACACUCUCACAAUUGGUUUGACUCAUUGAAAAUUUUAGCAAGAAUUUGUGACGGCAUAUACCAUCAUAAAGACCACCAUAAAAUGCAUUGUCAUUUAUAACCGAUUAUGAUUAUGACAGUGUUAUAAAUCAUUCAGAUAGUGUUAUACAUCAUUCAGAUACUUUAUCAGCCUUUUGCUUGUCUGAUCUUCAUGCUAGUAAGGAUAUGUCAAUUUUUUUGGCUAAGUGACAAAGUAUUUAAUGUAGCAUAUGUUCACGUGUUGAUAAACUACAUUGGAGUCAAUUUAUUUAAAUUGAUAUUGACAAUGUGUAUUAUUUUUUUUAAUAAAAACAUAAAUAUAGUUUAUCAUAGCAUUUUUUUAACUUCGAGACAACCUUCUGUUUAUAUACAUUCAAAUUUUGCAUCAUGAUUUCAAAAACAAGUACAUCUCCAAAAACUAACUCAUAUCAACAUCCACAUGAUGCACUUAUCUAUGGGACUGAGUAGAAGCUUCAAAGAAUGACACAUUUACUAUGUCAAUGGAUACAAAUUUCAUAUUGAAUCUUGGACUAAAGGAAAAAAAAAAACAAUAAAUAAUAGAGUGUGUAUGUAGAGUGUGUCUAAUAGUGGUGUAAUAGAAGUCUUCUAGGGUAUAAUUGAACAUAUUUACUAAUUUGACUUCACAUUUCUAUACUAUGCAAAAACAGUGAUGUUGUUUUACUGUAAGUAGUUUGAUCCUUCGAGCAGAGGAACUAAGAUCAAUUUGAUGACCAACAUUGGAGACAUUUGUUUGAGCAAAAGAUAUGCAUUGUUUGAUUUGUUUGCCAUGACCCAUAAUAUAAGACAAGUGUAUUAUGUUCUUUAUCCAUAUGCAAUCAGACAUAAACAAUACCAACAAGUGAAAUUGAAGAAGAUGAAGCAAAUUAUAAUGAAUAAGUUGCAUAUCAUAUGGAUGAAAUGUCAAAUGUGGAUCGUGUGAUUGGAGAUGAGACUAUUAGUCGACAUUAUCGCAAGUUAAAUACUUGAGAAAUAGUUGACGAACAAGAAAUAGAAGAAUUAGAGGAUGAUGAAGACAAUAACUUAAUUCACUCAUCAAAUGACGAUGAUGAUGUCGACAAUUAAUUAAGUAAGUAAAAUGUAUAUGUGUAUAUAUAAUUAUAUUGUAUUGUGAAAUGUGAACUACAAUAAAUAUAUAUACCAGCUAUGCCAACAAUUGGCUUGAUUAGACCACAUUUAGAUCAACUUCAAUCAAUUAUGGCUCCGUCAAUUAGUGGUAGUGUCCUUGAAGAUGAAAUACAAUUUCAAAUUAUGUUGCCUCCACUACCACUAAUUAAUACUUAUGAGAGACUUUUAUAAUUGAAUAAUAUUCCACCAAAUAACGAUGGAGGAAAUUGAGCUAAUAAUAAGAGUAAUUAUUAUGAUCAUUGAUGUAUUAUAUUAAUAAUCAAGAAUAUAAUUUUAUAUAAUAAAUUCAAAAAUUAUUAUUUAUAUGUAAUAUGAUAAUUAAUAUUUACUUAUAUUUUAUAUAUUUUCUUAUAUAUUCAUUUGAAUUUAUUGAUUAAACAUCAAAUUGUUUUAAUGUUUUAUAAAAAUUUAAGGAACUGAUCUAAUAAAUAAGGAAUUUUAAUUUGAUGUUUGAAUAAGUAAUUCAAUGUCUAUAAACGUUAUUUAUUCAUGAAGUAAUUUGACCCCAUAAAAAAUAAAAAUAAAAUAGAAGAAUAAUCGAGAAUAUUGUUAAGAACUAAAGGCAUUUUUUUUUUAAUUCGGUAGCAAAACUUGAGGCAUUAUUGUUUUUAUAUAUGUAUAUGGAUGGAAAGUAUGGGUGCAGAAUUUAAUUGUAACUUUUAUAAAAUAUGUGAUAACUUUUAUAAAUGAAUUGUGUAAAUUUAAAUUUUAUCGUAAUUUAAAAUUUGUAUUAAUAUAUUUUUAUGAAUUAUAUAUAUAUAUAUAUAUAUAUAUAUAUAUAUAUAUAUUUGUAAAAAAAAUAAAAAUAAAAUAGAAGAAUAAUCGAGAAUAUUGUUAAGAACUAAAGGCAUUUUUUUUUUAAUUCGGUAGCAAAACUUGAGGCAUUAUUGUUUUUAUAUAUGUAUAUGGAUGGAAAGUAUGGGUGCAGAAUUUAAUUGUAACUUUUAUAAAAUAUGUGAUAACUUUUAUAAAUGAAUUGUGUAAAUUUAAAUUUUAUCGUAAUUUAAAAUUUGUAUUAAUAUAUUUUUAUGAAUUAUAUAUAUAUAUAUAUAUAUAUAUAUAUAUAUAUAUAUUUUUGUAAAAACAUUGAAAAAAAUUAUUUUUUAAAAAAAUUGAUUCAUAAAGUCGCAAUUUAAAAUGCGGGCUUCCAUAAGGAAGUCGCCAUUCCAAAUGGCGACUUGUAACUUAAAAAAUAAAUUAGUUAAUAAUUUUCAAAAGGAAGUAUUUGGAUAAAUUAUUUUGAAAAUAGGGUUAUUAAAAAAAAAGCCAACAAAUGGAUCAUAGUCCUUUUUAUUAAAAGUCAUGGUCGGCUCAAAACAUGGAAAAUUUAAAACGAAUUAUAAGAUAAGCUUUAAUGCGAAUUUUCUAAAUUUUAACUUGACAUCACUAAAUUAAUAUAAUUGAUGUCGUGUAACAUUUAUUUUUCAAUUGAUUUAAUAUUAUGGAAACAACACUAAAUUUAGAAAUUAUUUAUAUAUUUUAAUUUUAAAGAUAUUAAAAUAUGAUGCUUUUUAUUUAAGAUUUUUUUUAAGACAAAUUUUUUUUUUUUUUUGAAAUUGUGAAUUUUUUUUAUUUUAUAUAUUUUUUAUGAUACAUAUUUACAUACCAAAAAAUUUCAAUUUGAAAUUUCCAUUACACUUAUAUAAUUGGAUUAUUCAGAUACACUUGUCUAAUUGAACAAGUAUUGAAUGGUAGUAAAAUGGAGAGAAGCAAGACUAAGAUGAAGAUAGAGAGUAUUGAGGAAUGUGUUCUCAUAGCUGAAUGAGAAGAUCCAAAAUCAUGGACAAAGUAGAUGUGUAUUAAUUAUAAAGUAACCUAACAAAUUUCAUAUAACUAUUAAGUAUCUUUUAACUACUUUUAAGAGUCUCUACAAGUUGAAAAUAUAUAACAACAUUUUUAACUUAGAAAGUGAAAUACAAUACAAGAAAAAGAAAAAUACAAUACAAUUAAUGAAUGAAAAUUACGAGAAAAAGAAUACAAGUCACAAUCACAUCGAUUAAACAACAAAGUUCAUUUACAAAGUGGUAGGGCCGAGAUGUAUAACUCUUGUUGAAGUCUUCGGCCUACUUUGAACUAAUUUGAAAAUCUUUUGGUUUUUCACGACACUCACUCUAAUAUAAAAUCAAUAAUCUCAAUAUUGGAUUUUCAAAUGUCAAAUUUGACAUACAGAACUUAACCAUCAUAGGAUGGAAGCACAAAGAGAAUGAAAAAUGUAUAAUACCAUAAAAUAAAAGAACAUAGAAGUUGAUAAUUACUAUACUAUCAUAUGGUAGAAGCACAAAGAGAAAAUCAAUAAUGGCUAAAAAUAAUGAAAUUAUUGUGAAAUAUAUCACUAAAGAACAUAAUGAUUAAUGAACAAUAUGAAACAUUCAAAAAAUCACAAAAUAUUUUCAAUCUUGAAUCUUCAAAUAUUAUACAACCAAGUCGAGAAAUACUAAAAAAUCACAAAUUUAGAUUCAAAAUGAGGAGGAAAAGAUAAAGAAAAUUUGAAAAAAAUGUAGCGGAAUAAUUAUUAUUGUUCUAAUACCAUGCUGAGAAUUAUGGUAACGAAAGAGAAAAAUAAUUAAAGAGAAAUAUAAAUUUCAAAUAAUUAUUUGAAGAAUGGUUAUACAAUUAAAGUAUGAUGCACAUUUAUAUAGUGUUUUUAACGUAACUAACCUAAAAUUUCAUCGAACUAUAAGUAUCUUUUAACUACCUCUAACUUCAAAAAUAUAUUGUAUAUUGUUAAUUUUGGCUAAUCUCUAUGGUUAAUAUAUGUAAAAAAAUAUUCAUAACUUAGUGGCAAAGAAAAAUAAGAAUAUUUAACUAUCUUACUAUAUUUAAUGACUAUUGUGUAACUCUUGUAUGACACAGAGAUAAAUCAUGAUAUUGAAAAAUAUAUUGCUCUACUAAUAUAUAUACAUAUCAAGAAUCAACUCAGCUCUCAUUCAUACUAUGGUUUUUGUGUGUAGAUCUUAUAUAUAAUUUCUCUUUAAAAAUAAUUUAAAUGAAGAUAAUAAUUUGAAUCUCAUAAGACAAAAAUAUGCUUUCAAUCUUAUACACGAUAAACAAGUAACUAAUUACUACAAAAAAGAUUUAAUUGUCAAAGAAGUUUCAUCUACACGUUUAAAAAUUGUUGAAAAAUUCAUUCUACAUACUAUCUUUAGUGUCGGCACAUAGAUUUCUUUCAUCAUCAGAAAUAAGAAUAAUCAAUCAUUUCUUGAUUGUACCUUUAGAAUAACCACAUAGAAAUGACCACAAGUAAAUACAGUUUUAUCAUUGGAGUAAAAUAUUGAGUUAAAAAAAAUGAAGUAUAAUCAUGCAAAUUUCUAUAAGUCAAUAUACAACUAUCAUUUGAUUAAACUUGCAUUUAAAGAUGCAACAAUAAUUUUGAAGAUAUGGCUUUGGAUUUUAGGACGAUGAGGAGAAUGAACAAUAUUGAGAAAAUUGAAGACACAAAUGCAAACAUAAUUCUUGAAAAGCAUCUUAAGAAAAAAUAACUAAAAGAUAACUUGAAGAAACUUCGAACAGUCAACUACAAUAGUAUACCACAAUACAUUAGUAGAUGUUUUCAAGUACUCAUGACAAUCAAAAGAAUGAGUGAGGCAAAACUAUAUAAGACCAAGCUAUUCAGAAAAUACAAAAAUAAGUUCAGUAGAGUUUAAUGGCUGAAAAUCAUGUAUGUAAAUAAAAGACCCCUAACACAAUAACUAUUCAAUUAUUGAUAUGUAUCAUCCUGAAGAAAAUAAAUGCACUGGCAAUUAAAACAUAUUGCAUUUCUUUGUGCUUUUUCUCAAGCAUUUGUAUCUCCAUUUCAAAAACAUAAGAUAUUAUCAAUAAUGACAUCAAUUAUAGAUGUCUUUUUUUUAUCUUGUAAUUAUAGUUAUUAAACUUGCAUAAAUCGAACAAAAAUAUACUCUUUGCUACCUGCAAAUAUUUUUUUCCCUUUUAUUCUGCCAUUGCACGAGCUAUAGAGAAAAAAGAGGAUGAAAAACAAUAUCAAAAGAAAAAUAAAGAGGGUAACGUAAAUCUCCUCGGUCAUUAGAGAAAGAAACACAAAAAUUAUAUGUGAAAUUUUAAAAUAAAUCAAAAAAUAACUGGUGAAGAAAAAGAGUAAAAAUAACGGUACAAUUGUUUGGUUGGUAACCAUCCAAACAAAAUUCUACAUGCCGAGGUAACCUACAAGUCGUUGAGGUAGAAUGGUCAAUACUGGGUUAAGUUGCAAAAGAGUGAAAUUGAGUUUUGUUUAGCUUCUUCUAAGUGGAUUGAUUACAAUGAACUUCACACUAAAACUGAGUACUAAGUAAUAUAAAAUUGAACAAGUGUCUUUGCUAAAACUGAAACAUUGAAUUCUGAAUAGUUAAAAAAAUUUGAGUUCGUAGGAUUUUCUAAGUUGUUGUGUUGUUUUUUCUUCUUAGAAUUGAUCCCUUUAUAUAGCAUGAAUUAGAGUUUCAAUAUUGUCUCAAACAAAUUAUCAAUGUAUCUUCCUUGCCCGAGGUCAACAUAGAUCUUCAUAAAAAAAUAAACUUUGAUAGAUACAGUUUAGGAAUAUAAUUGUUGAAGUUUGAUUAAUUCCAAAACAAAUCUUCAACCAAAUCAUUGAGAAAGAUUUCGUACGAAAAUGUUUAGAUAACACUUGAAAAUAAUUCUGUUUGAAUCUUCUGAGUGUAUCUUCCUUGCACAAGCUCAAUAGAGAUCUUCACAAAAAGAUAAACAUUGAUAGAUACGGUUCGAGAAUAUGAUCAUUUAAGCUUGAUUAAUUUCAAAAUGAAUCUUCAACCAAAUCUUCUUGAAUGAUUUUGUGCGAGAAUGUCCAAAUAACGCUUGAAAAUAACUCUCAUUGACUCUUCUUUCAUACGCUUGUUCAAGAGCAGCGAUAACAUAUCAAAAUCAAUUAUUGGACCUUCAGAAUCACGAAACAUCUCAGUCACCAUCAGCAUCGAAUUUUCAUAAGAACCAUUGACUUUCUUCAUCAUAAGAUAACUUGAUUAUCAGAGUCAGAUGUUAUGUUGCUUGGUUCAGGUAGUCAGAGGCAGAGACAAAAUUGCAUGACUUAGAAUUAGUGGCAAGUGCAACGUCACUCUGUUGAAUCUUCAGAUCAUUUUGCGUAUUAGAGGCAACAUCUUGGGACAAGUUGUAGUCUUUAGAACAAGCAGAAUGUGAGUUUCCGAGAAAACUCAAAUAGAAGCUUCAGAGUUGCUGUAGUGGGUGCUUUAGAGGCAUGCUUCAAACUUCAAAGGCAAACACACAGAAGCUUUAGAGGCACACUAGAUAGACGCUUCAAAGACAAAUCUUCAGAGGCAAAUGCACACAAAACAAUGCGUGUAAUAACCAAAGUCUGAACAGUGUGUUGACUUCACUUGACUCUGAUGUGUUCAUUUACUUUGGCAUCUUCGUUUCCUCUGACAUAUUCACUUCCUCUAAUAUUGUUUCCUAUGUUUCCUGGUUCUAUUUACGACAUACUCAAUGAAAUUAUUAAUGUAAUAAAUUUGUCUUAUAAAAUAUUUUUGUUAUCAUCAAAACAUGUCCAAAGAAUUAUUUUUAGAACCAACAUAGUUCCAAUUGUUGUUUUUUUUUUUUUUUUUUUAUCUUGAAGGGGUAGAACUUGAAUGUUAUACCUACAAUUACAACACUAGCAAAAAAAAAAAAUAAAAUAAAAUAAAACUCAAUUAUAGUUAUUAAACUUGCAUAAAUCGAACAAAAAUAUACAACUCGGUAACUGUAAACAAAAAUAUUUUCCUUUUACUUUGCCAUUGCAUGAGCUAUAGAGAAAAAGGAAGAUAGAAAACGAUAUCAAAAAAAAAAUAAAGAAGUAAUGUAAAUCUUAUCGAUCAUUAGAAAAAGAAACACAAAAGUUGCAUGUGAAAGUUUAAAAUAAAUUAAAAAACAAUAAAUGAAGAAAAAUAAUAAAAACCACGGAACAAUUGUUGGUCAAUAACCAUCCAAACAAAGUUCUACAUGCUAAGGUACUUUCUCAAAAGUAUAUUGUAUAUUAUUAAUUUCGACUAUUAUCCCUAUAAAGGGAAAAAAGUGAAGAAAAUAUGGUUUUUUUUAGGUUUAAUUGCAGUUUUGGUCUAUUUAUUUUAGCUGAAUCGCGAAAGUAGUCUUUCCAUUUUGUUUCUCCCCACUUUUGGUCCUCCAAACACCAUUUUGAUCCAAAACUUGAUAAAAUUUCAUUUUUUAAAGUCAUAUUACACUAUUUAUGAUCAUAGAUUUCAGGUACAAUUGUUGUACAUGAGAUCUUGAGGCAUUGUGUGACUUAAAUAAAUGCAAAAAUAAAAUAAAAUUUCAUCAAGUUUUAGACUAAAAUUAUGUUUGGAGACCAAAACUGGAGAGAAACAAAAUGAGGGACUACUUUCGCGAUUUAGCUAAAAUAGUGGGACCAAAACUGCAAUUAAACAUUUUUUUUAUUAUUAUCAAGAAUGGUUAAUUGUGUUUUUAUUUUUAUUUGUCUAUAAUGGUUCUUAAAUUCCAAAAAAAAAAAAAAAAACAUUUUUUUGUUGUUGCAAUAGGCGCAAGAGACGUUGCUACAAAUUAAUGUCAUAAAUAUAGAAUCAAUUAACAUAUUAUGAUAAUUGAAAAGGCACCUUGCACAUUAAACCAAUAUUUGCAUUCUUUCAGUGAAAACAAGCGCUAGCGUGCUUAUGAAGAUCGUUACUUUAAAAAAAAAAUUUCCUUCUAAAUAACAAAUAAAAAAAUAAUGAAAAUUACUACUAAUAGAAACAUUAUAUAAGAGAUAAACACUAUAAAUAAGUGACAAAUAUCACACUUGUCAUAAAAUAAACUUUGGUUUUAUUAUAAUGUAUAGAUGUAUAGAUAUCAUGAUUCAUAAAAUACUCUUUUUUAACACAUAUAAAAUACUCUUAAAUCAAUAUAAGUUUUAUUUUCCCAUAACUUUUUAAUUAUUAACAAACAAGUUUUCAUGAAUUACAAUUUUAGAAUAUUGUCAAAAAAAAUUCCAUGAAUGAGAUUAAUAUGGUUGGUACGUGUUUGAAUGAACAAUUAGUUAACUAAUUACAUUGGUUUAGGUUUCUUUCUUUGAAUGAACUGCAAUGAUUUAUUUUAUUUCAAAAAAAAUAACUAAUUACAUUCUUGUUUUUCUUUCAGAUUCAAAAUAAAUAUGGUGAGGUGGUGAAUGUUUGUUUAAAGAGAUGAGCUAGAACAAAGUCCUCUUUGAGAUUUGUUCAUAAGGUGUUAACAAAAUGGUUACUUUUUUCAUAAGGUGAUAACAAAAGGCUUACAAUUUGGUGAGGGAUUUGUGAAUGCGUGUGACCAUUUGUGAAUUCGGAUUUGUAUUAAUCUGAAUAAAUGAUUAAAUUUUAAAUAAUAUAUCAACGCUCCUUUCAAUCUAGCCAAUAAUUAUGUAGCAAGCAUUAUUAAUUAGAAUAACAAAAAAGAGUAGAAUGCAAAUAUUUAUAAACAAUGUGUGGGACAUGUUUCUCGGAUGAGUUAUAGUAAGGAGUAACAACAAGCAAAUGCAAUUAAGCAAAUUGAAAGCAACCUAACAUUGGAGAUUAUUAUAUAGGACUUGAGUGUGCAAAUAAAAUACAUGAGAGUGUUCCCCUUAGUGUUUUUUCAAAUGGAAUUUUAAUUGUCUUGCCUUUUUAGUGACAAUGGAUAUUCAAUAUAUUAGUAAUGGUAGAAUGUUUAUAAAUAGGUUAUUAGUCUUACAUUUCUCACCUAAUAUUUUAUAUACAUUAUUUAUAGUAGAAAAGUGAAAGUUUAGAAGAACCAAUAAUAUAGAAACUAAAAUCUUUUUCUUUUUUGCAACAAUGACUAGUAAUAAUUAUUUUGUGGGUCUAAUUUAUUCCACAUUUGAUUAACUAAUGUUUCUGAUUUUAAAUAUGUUAGUAAAUUUGAUUACAUCUUCUAUUAGACAUAUUAUAGAAAAUCAGUUAUAUAAAUUAAGUAUAAUAGUUAGUUAGUUAGUUAUGUUAAUUAGUUGUUAUAGAAAUUUUAUGUAUUUUUAGUAUUUAUUUCUACUAAAUUUUGUUAUGCAGGUUGAAGAUUUACUUAAAAUAAUCUCUUGCAUAUUUAGAUUAUUAAGUUGAUGAUAGUGUUAUUCAUAGUGAAAAAUCAUAUUCCCUUAACUGUUUUCAUGAUUGUAAAAUUAUGAUGUAUCCACUUAUAAUAAUUUAUUUGAAACUCGUCACCUUUAUUUAAUUUAUUGGAGUAUUUGAUUCUUCAAUUUUGUAAUUGUUAUUUGUGUUUUAAGAGAAUGAAAGUUGAAUUAUACAUAAAGCACUAACGUGUUGAUGAAGAAAAAUUGUAAUGGGGGAAUAAAAAAAAUGCUUUAAUAUUAAAAAAAAAUUCAAAAAAAUAUUGAGAUAGAAAUAAUAUAACCGAAUAAUUACUUUGAUAUCAUAUAAUUUGGGUAAAUUACAUUCGUGGUCCCUUAACUUAAUUUCAGGUAACGUUUUAGUCUCUUAUCUUUUUUUUUUUCCGAUUUAGUCAUUUAUUCCUAAUAAUAUCAAAUAAAGUAUGAAAAUAUGAGUUUAUUUGAAAAUUUGCGUUACGGAUUUGAUGAAAUUUGUAUUAUAUUGAAGAAUAUAAUUAAUUUUAUGAGUUUUGAUUGAUUUUUUUUUUUUGAAUUUUUGUUUAAAUAAGGAUAACGUUGUUGAAAUUUUAAAACAUAAAAUAUCAAAUUGUCAUUUAAAAUUAAAAUAAAUGACUAAGUCGGGAAAAAAAAUAGAUAAAUGACUAAAAUGUUACCUGAAAUUAAGUUAAAGGGCAAUUUAACCCAUAUAAUUAGUAGAGUAGUUUAAUACUUUCUUCCCAUAGAAAUAUGGCUACUUUUCCACGGUCAUAAUAUAUUUUUCAGUGAAUCCAUCACCGGUCUAAAGUAUUAAUCCUCCAAAGUUGAUAGUAUCAAAUAAAAUAUUAAUUAUUUAACUUUACUAUAUAUAGCUAGUUCACUAUUCAACUACUAUAUAUAGCUACUUCCCUAUUCAACUAACUACGAUAUUUUGGGUGGUUGUUUAAAAAUGAUUUUUAUGAAAAUUUAUUUGAAAAUAGUAUAAGUUUUUAGAUUUAUUUGUCAUCAAUUAAAAAAAUUAAUAAUUAAUAAUUUAAAUAUUUAUUAUUAAGAAUUUAACAUGAUAAAAAUUAAAUUUUUUUAAAUGAUUUUUAUAAAAAACUUUUCAAAAUUAUUUUUCGUUUGAAUUAUUUUUUGAAAUUUCAUUAUAAAAAAAUAUUGUAGAAAAUAAAUAAAGUACUUAAAUUAUAGUUUAAGAUAAACUAUUUAAAUUAAUUUUUCAUUUGAGGUUAUAUUUUUAAAAUAUUAUUACAAAAAGACAAAAUACAAAAAAAAAAUCAUUUAAAAAAAAAAAUCUUAAGCAUCCAUAUUAUUUAUCUAUAAAUUAAGAAAAAGUAUAGACUAACAACCAUAAAGCUACUUUUUCUUAUGAAUGAACGACGCAACUGUUAGUAAUCACACUCCAAUUGAGUGAAAUAUUUAAUUAAGCUCACUAAUUAAAUGGGCCAACUAUAUAACAAAAACACAAUUAUUAAGUCACCUACCAUCCAUUCCAUAUAAAGCUAUUGUAGGUAAUCAAGGAUUGUCUAGAUUUUAUGAGGCUGAAUUAACACUACAUCGGUUGUUCACGGUUCGGUUCAAAGGUCAAAAUAUCAUAUCAUUUAAAGAUAAAUCUAAAUAUAGUUUGGUUAGAAUAAGAUAUUUAAAAAAAAUCUGAUCCGAGUCAAUUAUACAAAUAGUUGAAUUGAGAUUGGAUUUUAAAUAUCUGAAUUACAGUAGUAAAAAUUUAUAUUAAUAUUAUAAAAAUAUAAUAAAAUAGUAUGUUUAUGCAAAAUUAUUACAUAUAAUACACUAUAAUUAUAGUUAAAUUGUACUUUUUAGUCUUAUAUGUUUUAUUCAAUUUUCGAAUAGGUCUUUUAUAAUUUUUAUGUAUUUAUGUUUUUGUGUGUCUGUAAAAUCGUCAUUUUUUGUUAGUUCCGUUAAAAAAAAUUCAUGUAGCCGUUACAAUGAUAACGUGUGUAUAAACGUAUUGGUGUGACAAAUUAUAAAAGUAAACGACACUUGAUAUUUAAGUUUUAAAAAAUAUACUAAUGAUCAUUUAAGUGUAAACUAAUUUUUGUUCCGACCUAAUCUUCAUCUUUUAUCUCUUAAUCAUCUUCCUCUUCCACUCAAUCUUUAAAAAAACUAAAAUUCAAAUUUCAUAAUUCCAAUAAAAAAAACUCAAAACGUUAGACCAUAUAAAUUAAAAAAAAAAUCAAAAUAAUAAAUUUAUCAUUCCGCCAAGAAGGAAAAAUAAGUUGUUGUAAAUAAAGAGAAAUUCAUCAUAAUUCCACUAAAAAAAUAAGUUGUUCGUAUAUACAGGAACUAGAUAAAACAUAAAGUAUUAAGAAUGCAAUUUAGCUUAAAUUUAUUAAGCUAAAUUAUUUUCAUAAAUAUAUUAAGCGUCUAAUUAUCAAACAAACUAAAUCACCAAUGAAUUAUAACAAAGUAAAACCAAAUGUAGGGUAUUUGACUAUUUGGUAUGUAACGUGGUUGUUGACUGUAAGCGACGGUCAACAACAAGAAGUCUACAACCCAUGCACCUGCUUAUAAAAAGGAGAACCCCUGUGAUUAUUUUUAUGUGUAGGAAAGAGAGUUACAUAUAGAUGGUGUAGAGAGAAAGAGAAAGGGAGAAUCAAAAUGGAUAAGAGGUGGUGUAUCUUGUUGGUUUUGGCUAUGGUCGUGGUUACAAGUGCAAGGAAUGUGCCGAGGGAAAGCAUUGGUUUGAACAAACAAAAUUGCACAUUUGCCAGUCAUCAUGUUAAUCAGAGUCAUCCUCCUAGUCAUAGUACUGGAGGCGGAAGCGGAAACGGUGCAGGUGCGGGUGCAGGUGCAGGUUCUGGUGCAGAAGCUGGUGCAGGUGCUGGUGCAGAUGGUUCGGGUUCAGGUGCUGGUGCAGGUGCUGGUGCUGGGGCUGGUGCUGGUGCAGGUGCUGGUGCGGGUGCUGGUGCAGGUUCUGGUGCAGGUGGCGGUGGUUCAGGUGGCCAUAAUGCUUCUAAUUCUGGUGGUAGCGGUGGUGGCGGUAGUGUAGGUGGCGAUAAUGAUGCUAAUUCUGGUGGUGGCAGUGAUGAUAAUGAUGCUAAUCCUGGUGGUGGUGGCGGUGAUGAUAAUAAUGCUAAUCCUGGUGGGGGCGAUGGUGGCGAUAAUGAUGUUAAUCCUGGUGGUGGCGGUGAUGAUAAUGAUGCUAAUUCUGGUGGUGGUGGCGGUGGUGUAGGUGGCGAUAAUGAUGCUAAUCCUGGUGGUGGUGGUGGUGAUAAUGAUGCUAAUUCUGGUGGUGAAGGUGGCCAUAAUGGUUCUAAUUCUAGUGGUGGUGGUGGUGGUGGUGGUGGUAGUGACGAUAAUGAUGCUAAUCCUGGUGGUGGUGGUGGCCAUAAUGGUUCUAAUUCUGGUGGUGGAAGCGGAGGCGGUGGCGGUGGUGUAGGUGGCGAUAAUGAUGCUAAUCCUGGUGGUGGCGAUGGUGAUAAUGAUGCCAAUCCUGGUGGUGGCGGUGGCCAUAGUGGUUCUAAUUCUGAUGGUGGAGGCGGUGGCGGUGGUGUAGGUGGUGAUAAUGAUGCUAAUUCUAGUGGUGGCGGUGGCCAUAAUGGUUCUAAUUCUAGUGGUGGAGGUGGUGGUAGUGACGAUAAUGAUGAUAAUCCUGGUGGUGGUGGUGGCCAUAAUGGUUCUAAUUCUGGUGGUGGAGGCAGUGGUGGUGGUGUAGGUGGCGAUAAUGAUGCUAAUCCUGGUGGUGGUGGUGGCCAUAAUGGUUCUAAUUCUGGUGGUGGUGGUGGUGGUAGUGACGAUAAUGAUGAUAAUCCUGGUGGUGGUGGUGGCCAUAAUGGUUCUAAUUAUGGUGGUGGAGACGGUGGCAGUGGUGUAGGUGGCGAUAAUGAUGCUAAUCCUGGUGGUGGUGGUGGCCAUAAUGGUUCUAAUUCAGGUGGUGGUGGUGGUAGUGACGAUAAUGAUGCUAAUCCUGGUAGUGGUGGUGGUCAUAAUGGUUCUAAUUCUGGUGGUGGAGGCGGUGGCAGUGGUGUAGGCGGCGAUAAUGAUGCUAAUCCUGGUAGUGGUGGUGGUCAUAAUGGUUCUAAUUCUGGUGGUGGAGGCGGUGGCAGUGGUGUAGGCGGCGAUAAUGAUGCUAAUCCUGGUAGUGGUGGUGGUCAUAAUGGUUCUAAUUCUGGUGGUGGAGGCGGUGGCAGUGGUGUAGGCGGCGAUAAUGAUGCUAAUCCUGGUGGUGGUGGUGGCCAUAAUGGUUCUAAUUCUGGUGGUGGUGGUGGUGGUAGUGACGAUAAUGAUGCUAAUCCUGGUAGUGGUGGUGGUCAUAAUGGUUCUAAUUCUGGUGGUGGAGGCGGUGGUAGUGAUGUAGGUGGCGAUAAUGAUGCUAAUCCUGGUGGUGAUGGUGGCCAUAAUGGUUCUAAUUCUGGUGGUGGUGGUGGUGGUGACGAUAAUGAUGCUAAUCCUGGUGGUGAUGGUCAUAAUGGUUCUAAUUCUGGUGGUGGAGGCGGUGGCAGUGGUGUAGGUGGCGAUAAUGAUGCUAAUCCUGGUGGUGGUGGUGGCCAUAAUGGUUCUAAUUCUGGUGGUGGUGGUGGUAGUGACGAUAAUGAUGCUAAUCCUGGUGGUGGUGGUGGUCAUAAUGGUUCUAAUUCUGGUGGUGGAGGCGGUGGUAGUGGUGUAGGUGGUGAUAAUGAUGCUAAUUCUGGUGGUGGUGGUGGUGGUGGUGACGAUAAUGAUGCUAAUUCUGGUGGUGGUGGUCAUGAUGGUUCUAAUUCUGGUGGUGGAGGCGGUGGCAGUGGUGUAGGUGGCGAUAAUGAUGAUAAUCCUGGUGGUGGUGGUGGCCAUAAUGGUUCUAAUUCUGGUGGUGGUGGUGGUGGUGGUGGUGACGAUAAUGAUGCUAAUCCUGGUGGUGGUGGUGGUGGUCAUAAUGGUUCUAAUUCUGGUGGUGGAGGCGGUGAUAGUGGUGUAGGUGGCGAUAAUGAUGCUAAUCCUGGUGGUGGUGGUGGCCAUAAUGGUUUUAAUUCUGGUGGUGGUGGUGGUGGUGGUAGUGACGAUAAUGAUGCUAAUCCUGGUGGUGGUGGUGGCCAUAAUGGUUCUAAUUCUGGUGUUGGAGGCGAUGGCAGUGGUGUAGGUGGCGAUAAUGAUGCUAAUCCUGGUUGUGGUGGUGGCCAUAAUGGUUCUAAUUCUGGUGGUGGUGGUGGUGGUGGUAGUGACGAUAAUGAUGCUAAUCCUGGUGGUGGUGGUGGCCAUAAUGGUUCUAAUUCUGGUGGUGGAGGCGGUGGCAGUGGUGUAGGUGGCGAUAAUGAUGCUAACCCUGGUGGUGGUGGUGGCCAGAAUGGAUCUAAUUCUGGUGGUGGAGGCGGUGACAGUGGUGUAGGUGGCGAUAAUGAUGCUAAUCCUGGUGGUGGUGGUGGCCAUAAUGGUUCUAAUUCUGGUGGUGGUGGUGGUGGUAGUGAUGAUAAUGAUGCUAAUCCUGGUAGUGGUGGUGGUCAUAAUGGUUCUAAUUCUGGUGGUGGAGGCGGUGGCAGUGGUGUAGGUAGCGAUAAUGAUGCUAAUCCUGGUGGUGGUGGUGGUCAUAAUGGUUCUAAUUCUGGUGGUGGAGGCAGUGGUAGUGGUGUAGGUGGCGAUAAUGAUGCUAAUCCUGGUGGUGGUGGUGGCCAUAAUGGUUCUAAUUCUGGUGGUGGAGGCGGUGGCAGUGGUGUAGGUGGCGAUAAUGAUGCUAAUCCUGGUGGUGGUGGUGGUGGUGACCAUAAUGGUUCUAAUUUUGGUGGUGGAGGCGGUGGCAGUGGUGUUGGUGGCGAUAAUGAUACUAAUUCUGGUGGUGGUGGUGGCCAUAAUGCUUCUAAUUCUGGUGGUGGCGGUGGUGAUAAUGAUGUUGGUGUUGAUGUUACUCCUGGUGUUGAUGUUGGUGGUGAAUGAGGAAUAUUUAGGGUUGUUAUUGGUGGAGGUGAGAAAGGAGUUUCAGGUGGUGGAGUCGGUGGUUUUAGUAUUGGUGGUCUUCUUCAACCUUGACAGUGCUAUAUGUCUGUAGUGCAUUUCCAC
This 16107-nucleotide long non-coding RNA is filed under the name Cicer arietinum (chickpea). RNAcentral's name for it is "long non-coding RNA (CARI_LNC000921)". Lineage: Eukaryota; Viridiplantae; Streptophyta; Magnoliopsida; Fabales; Fabaceae. The record is from RNAcentral.